Jatropha curcas is the source of this 842-nucleotide non-coding RNA. The record is from RefSeq and is a predicted model, not a curated record. NCBI's taxonomy places the organism in Eukaryota, Viridiplantae, Streptophyta, Magnoliopsida, Malpighiales, Euphorbiaceae.
AAUUGUGGAAUCAUUUCAUUUUGGGAAAAUUUUUAAUUUCGCAAUUAUGUUGCUUUGUUGAAGAAUUCUGGGGUUUUUUGAAGCAUGAUGAUGGAAUCUGGAAGAACGGAUACAAAGGCUCUUCAACUUCUGCAGCUGGAUUUGGUGCUGUUUACAGGCAGGUUUUCUUCUCCAUCACCUUUUACCUGUAUGGUGUCUUUGGCUGGUCCUCAUUUAAUUCAUACACGGUGCCUUCACAACCCUUUUUGACUGUCUUCACUGACAAGCCAAAUGUCAAGGAAAUAUUUAAAAGGGAUCUGGUUCCAUGUGGGACACCAACAAUUUUCAGUUCAUAUUGACAUAUAGUGCAUGCAGAUGCACUAUAUGCAUGUUCAUGAGAAUUAUGAAAAUCAGCCUUAUAUGUACCAUGACCAGUCAUUCUGAGUAUGCGUUUGCAACAUUACUAGUAAAAUGUAAAUCUAACCUAUUAGACUUUUUGGCCUUUUGUUAUGUUUUCUUGUCCUCCCAUCUCCUUGGGCCUUGUUUAGGUGAUUUUGGUAAUGAGAAUGUAGAGCUCGUCCAAAGUGUUGCAGAUCUUAAAUUUCCUAAAGCUGUUAUUUUGGGAAAUCACGAUUCCUGGUGUACUCAGAAGUUCUCUCAAAAGUAAGUCUAUAUUGCUGCAGCCCACUUUAUUAUUGCAUCUUAUUCAUUGGUUCUAUGUAUUAAAAUGAGUUGUUUGUUCUGUGCUUUGGGCAAUUUUCUUUUUUAAAUUUAUGGGGACCGGUACUGUUAAAUAUAAUAAACAGUUGUCUCAGUUCUUAUGUGCGAUGUUAAUAAGAUAAACAGCUGUUUCAGUUCUUAUA